AAUCAACGCUGGCGGCGUGCCUCAGACAUGCAAGUCGAACGCGAAAGUCUCCUUCGGGGGACAAGUAGAGUGGCGCACGGGUGAGUAACACGUAGGUAAUCUACCUUUGGAUGGGGAAUAACAACCGGAAACGGUUGCUAAUACCGCAUAAUGCAGCGGCACCUAAUGGUGACAGUUGUUAAAGCGGGGGAUCGAAAGACCUCGCGUCUGAAGAGGAGCCUGCGGCGGAUUAGCAGUUGGUAAGGUAAUGGCUUACCAAGGCUACGAUCCGUAA
Molecule: ribosomal RNA, 274 nt
Filed under: uncultured bacterium
Lineage: Bacteria
Description: partial 16S ribosomal RNA
Rfam family: Bacterial small subunit ribosomal RNA
Source: RNAcentral